AAAUAAUGUUUGAAGCGAUGGAAUUGGAAGUGUCAGUGGAAGAGACAAACAAACCAAAACACAAAAAAAUAAAUCGAUCACGCCGAUAAUUUGGGGGAAGCCAUCAACUGCAUAAAAGCCAUGUGUCACGUCUGUCUCCCUUUUCGGUCUAGCGUGGUCACUGCUUAUGUACGUAAGUUAUUGUCACUUGGCACUUCCUGGGUUGUUUAGUACAUCCAGUUUUACUUUGGUGAGUCACAUUCAGUUUGUAUUUGUUCUAGCUUUGGUUCCUUUGCCACGUGUCACUUCAGGUGUUUCUAAUUUGGGUUCGUUAGUAAUAUUUAAGCCCUGGGUUUCCACUCUUUUGCCAGAACGUCGCACCUAGUAAGUCUUCCUAUCCAGCAUUCCUAUCCGUGUUUUGACCUUGUGUAUGACUGUGCUUGUUUUUUUUUAACCUCCUCCUUGCCUCAUGUCUUUUGGAUACUGUUGCCUGGUUGGAUUGACUACCUGUGUGCUGAACCCUGCCCUUAAAUAAACUGCCUAAGUUUGCUUCUUACUGACUGUCUUGGCCUUUGUGUCCUACCUGGUCUGUGUUAGGAACUGUGUUGGUACGUUCUGGCCGUAUAUGGACACAGCAGAUACAGAUGUGGUACGACCGGCUCCGAGGAAUCCGGGCCAAAAGCCAGCUCAACAAGAGGAGUCUGCCAGUCUCUGGUCGGAAUUAAAGGAGCUGGUAAAGAGACAGGACUCGAUUAUGUUAACUCUAGAUUCACAGGCGAAGAUUUUAAGUGAGAAGCUGAAGAGUCUGAAUCCUACUGCGGCUGAGCCAAACCCCGCUCCUGAACCACUUCGCGGUUUGGUUGCCAAACGCCGCCUCCGGUCAUCACUACUUCCACCCUUCCACAGUUAUCUCGGCCCCAAAAGUUUUCAGAGGCUUGGGCUACAGCUGAAUGGAGCCGCCGUUCUCUCACCUGUGCCUCACUCGACAGCUUUACUCAGGCACCGGAGCAGAUUUACCAGCAUACAUCGUGGGGAAAAGAAGCGACUAGAGCGCUAACUCAGCUGAGGCAAGGCAGGCGCAAGGUGUCUGAUUACGCAAUCGAUUUUCAAACCUUGGCUGCGGAGAGUGACUGGAACAAUGCUGCCUUAACCGAUGCAUUUUUUCAAGGACUUUCUGAUAGUGUGAAAGAUCACCUGAUAACCAUUGAUAUUCCCAACGAUUUGGAUAAUUUGAUAGCUCUGGCUAUCAAGUUCGACAAGAGGAUACAGGAACGAGAAAUGCUACGCUGCCAUGUCAAAGGUUUUAAGUAUGGCAACAACAAGACACCAAGGGUGAGACAAAGUAUAAUUUUACAAUAAUCCUGGCCGUUUCAAACUCUAAUAUACGUUUAAAUCAGACACUAUCGCUUUACUUACCCUGUACUCAUUGACUCUGGCUCUGAAGCCAAUUUAAUCAACCACUCGUUUGCUAGGAUCUUGGGCCUGAGACAGCACCGUCUCCCCAGGUCCCUUUUGACAGGAUUACUCACCGCACACGGUCUGUUACGGUUAUGUUCCCGGAUAAUCAAACUGAACGGAUUAGUUUUCACGUUUUUUCCUUCCAUGAGUCACCGUCUUGGGUCACCCCUGGUUAAAAAAAACAUAACCCUCAUCUUGAUUGGGUGGCCAGGAAGAUCGUAGCUCGGGGGGUAAAAUGUGCCAAACCCUGCCCGUAAUAAACUGCCUAAGUUUGCCUCUUA
Long non-coding RNA from Phyllopteryx taeniolatus (common seadragon), 1718 nucleotides. RefSeq lists it as uncharacterized. The record is from RefSeq and is a predicted model, not a curated record. Lineage: Eukaryota; Metazoa; Chordata; Actinopteri; Syngnathiformes; Syngnathidae. The transcript has 2 exons.